RNAcentral lists this ribosomal RNA (502 nucleotides) under uncultured bacterium. Its description in RNAcentral is "partial 16S ribosomal RNA". It matches the Rfam family "Bacterial small subunit ribosomal RNA", at positions 29 to 507 of the family's 1533-position model. The record is from RNAcentral.
AGCGAACGCUGGCGGCGUGCCUAACACAUGCAAGUCGAACGUGAAAGGGAGCAAUCCCAAGUAAAGUGGCGUACGGGUGAGUAACACGUAGGUAAUCUACCCCGGAAUCUGGAAUAACCGGCCGAAAGGCUGGCUAAUACUGGAUAGAGCGACGGAAUCCGUAAUUGGGUUUUUCGGGAAAGGGAGCCUGUAAAAAGGCCUUCGUUCUGGGAUGAGCCUGCGUCCCAUCAGCUAGUUGGUGAGGUAAAAGCUUACCAAGGCAAUGACGGGUAGCUGGUCUGAGAGGACGAUCAGCCACACUGGAACUGAAACACGGUCCAGACUCCUACGGGAGGCAGCAGUGGGGAAUCUUGCGCAAUGGACGAAAGUCUGACGCAGCAACGCCGCGUGAGUGAAGAAGGCCUUCGGGUUGUAAAGCUCUGUCGAGUGGGACGAAAAUGCUUGGAGUUCACAGCUCCAGGAACUGACGGUACCACUAAAGGAAGCACCGGCUAACUCCGUG